Molecule: ribosomal RNA, 699 nt
Filed under: uncultured marine archaeon
Lineage: Archaea
Description: bacterial SSU rRNA
Rfam family: Archaeal small subunit ribosomal RNA
Source: RNAcentral
AGUCAACCUACCCUAUGGACGGGAAUAAUCUCGGGAAACUGAGGAUAAUUCCAGAUAGAACACUAUGCCUGGAACGGUUUGUGUUCCAAAUGAUUUAUCGCCGUAGGAUGGGACUGCGUCCUAUCAGUUUGUUGGUGAGGUAAUGGCCCACCAAGACUAUUACAGGUACGGGCUCUGAGAGGAGUAGCCCGGAGAUGGGUACUGAGACACGGACCCAGGCCCUAUGGGGCGCAGCAGGCGAGAAAACUUUGCAAUGUGCGAAAGCACGACAAGGUUAAUCCGAGUGGUUCCUGCUAAAGGAACCUUUUGACGGUCCUAAAAACACCGUUGAAUAAGGGGUGGGCAAGUUCUGGUGUCAGCCGCCGCGGUAAAACCAGCACCUCAAGUGGUCAGGGGGGUUAUUGGGCUUAAAGCAUCCGUAGCCGGCUCUGUGAGUUUUCGGUUAAAUCUGUGCGCUCAACGUACAGGCUGCCGGGAAUACUGCAGAGCUAGGGAGUGGGAGAGGUAGACGGUACUUGGUAGGAAGGGGUAAAAUCCUUUGAUCUAUUGAUGACCACCUGUGGCGAAGGCGGUCUACCAGAACACGUCCGACGGUGAGGGAUGAAAGCUGGGGGAGCAAACCGGAUUAGAUACCCGGGUAGUCCCAGCUGUAAACCAUGCAAACUCAAUGAUGCAUUGGCUUGAAGCCAAUGCAGUGUU